Molecule: long non-coding RNA, 669 nt
Organism: Nilaparvata lugens (brown planthopper)
Lineage: Eukaryota; Metazoa; Arthropoda; Insecta; Hemiptera; Delphacidae
Exons: 4
Source: RefSeq, a predicted model, not a curated record
AGCGUUGUUACAAGUCUUUAAAAAUCACUCCCAGUCUAGGGAAUGCGAGAAUAUCGCACGGUUGAUGUCUUUAAUACUUUCCAAAGAAAUUAUAGCCGUAUAAAUAUCCGUUAUGCUUGCUUGGCCGGAAUCCUGUAGAGUAACUAUUCAAAUUUUAUUGAAGGUCAACAUCAUCUCAUAAAGAAAAUGUUCAAGGCUGAGUUUGCAACGUGGAUUACAUCUUUGCGUGCGAAUCUUCAAACUUAAUAUCUUCUUCAACUGUAAUAAUAAUUAUUGUGAAUCCAACACUUAUGUCAAGACUGAUGGACAGACAGGCAGAGCGAAUUUUGCAGUCGGGAUAGCUGUUUGGGCGAUUAGCUAUCAGACUCGAGGUCUCGACUUAUGACCUAGGCCACACUACACUUCUACAACUCCUCACGUCAUCGGGUAACCGUCAUGGAUUAGAGCAAUCCCACACACAGAUAUCCAACAAUGAUGGCUCAUGAAUUAUAAUGUAAAAUGUAAUGCAUACAAAUGUAUGGUUGCGAUCCGGAUAGAAACUAGAAAGGAAUGUAUGCUACAAGUCUUGAGAAAAGAGAAACAAUGGGGACAAUGAUGAUGCCUGAUAAACUGGGCAGAUCCACGGAUCAUGUCACUGCAAAUUAUUAAAAAUAUAAUAUUGAUAAUUGA